This 253-nucleotide ribosomal RNA is filed under the name uncultured bacterium. Its description in RNAcentral is "partial 16S ribosomal RNA". It matches the Rfam family "Bacterial small subunit ribosomal RNA", at positions 524 to 776 of the family's 1533-position model. The record is from RNAcentral.
UACGUAGGGUGCGAGCGUUAAUCGGAAUUACUGGGCGUAAAGCGUGCGCAGGCGGUUUGAUAAGCCAGAUGUGAAAUCCCCGAGCUCAACUUGGGAACUGCGUUUGGAACUGUCAGACUAGAGUGCGUCAGAGGGGGGUGGAAUUCCGCGUGUAGCAGUGAAAUGCGUAGAGAUGCGGAGGAACACCGAUGGCGAAGGCAGCCCCCUGGGAUGACACUGACGCUCAUGCACGAAAGCGUGGGGAGCAAACAGG